This is a long non-coding RNA of Mandrillus leucophaeus (drill), 664 nucleotides long. RefSeq lists it as uncharacterized. The transcript has 3 exons. The record is from RefSeq and is a predicted model, not a curated record. Lineage: Eukaryota; Metazoa; Chordata; Mammalia; Primates; Cercopithecidae.
AUUCUCCCACCUCAGCUUCCCGAGUAGCUGGGACUACAGGCGCCGCCACCAUGCCUGGCUAAUUUUUUGUAUUUUUAGUAGAGAUGGGGUUUCACUGUGUUAGGCAGGCUGGUCUCGAUCUCCUGACCUCGUGAUCCGCCCGCCUCGGCCUCCCAAAGUCCUUUCAGUUUUUUUUCCCCCCUUUCAAAAGCAUAUGGAAGGCAGUUCAGGGAAAGCUAAGGCAUAAAAAAUCUUAUGAGCAUGUUAAGAGCCUGGAGAGAAGGGGUGGACACCUUUUGUUUGUCACGGCAUAUGUGCGGAUGGUGAAGGGGAGGUAAAUUAGAGCCAUGGAAAGGGAACUAAGUUUACACACUUCUAUUAAUCCAUUUUUUUAAAUUCCAGUCUAUUAUCCUCCCAGUCCACAAUGCUGAACCAUGGCUGGAUGAAUGUUUGAGGUCUGUUUUGCAGCAGGACUUUGAAGGCACGAUGGAGCUGUCUGUUUUCAAUGAUGCCAGUAAGGACAAGUCUGGGGCUAUCAUUGAAAAAUGGAGAGUGAAAUUGGAAGAUUCUGGUGUCCACGUGAUCGUUGGGGGGCACGAUUCUCCCUCUCCCCGAGGCGUCGGAUACUCUAAAAAUCAAGCAGUUGCCCAGAGCUCAGGGUCUUACCUUUGCUUUUUGGAUUCGG